GUUGUCAUAAUAAAUAAAAACUACUUUGACUUUAUAUUCUAUCAAAUACUGUGCUAUAGCAGGUUGGAUCCCCCAAAGUCAAGCCAAGUCGAGGCUCUCCUUAUCCGAGCAUGAGGAGAGCACAAUGAACCUCUCCUCAUCCACGCAUAAAGAGAAUGCGACAAAUCUCUCCUUAUCUGAGUACAAGGAGAGCAUGAUGAAUCUUUCCUUAUCCGAGUAUGGAGAGAGCAUGACGAACCUAUCCUCAUCCGAGCAUGAGGAGAGCAUAGGCCAAUCUUAGCCCAUUGGAGGGGAGAAUCCAAAGAGAACCCCACAAGCUCCUCACACA
This 328-nucleotide long non-coding RNA is filed under the name Elaeis guineensis (African oil palm). RNAcentral's name for it is "long non-coding RNA (EGUI_LNC002202)". The record is from RNAcentral. Lineage: Eukaryota; Viridiplantae; Streptophyta; Magnoliopsida; Arecales; Arecaceae.